Molecule: ribosomal RNA, 496 nt
Filed under: uncultured bacterium
Lineage: Bacteria
Description: partial 16S ribosomal RNA
Rfam family: Bacterial small subunit ribosomal RNA
Source: RNAcentral
GAUGAACGCUGGCGGCGUGCCUAAUACAUGCAAGUCGAGCGAACAGACGAGGAGCUUGCUCCUCUGACGUUAGCGGCGGACGGGUGAGUAACACGUGGAUAACCUACCUAUAAGACUGGGAUAACUUCGGGAAACCGGAGCUAAUACCGGAUAAUAUAUUGAACCGCAUGGUUCAAUAGUGAAAGACGGUUUUGCUGUCACUUAUAGAUGGAUCCGCGCCGCAUUAGCUAGUUGGUAAGGUAACGGCUUACCAAGGCAACGAUGCGUAGCCGACCUGAGAGGGUGAUCGGCCACACUGGAACUGAGACACGGUCCAGACUCCUACGGGAGGCAGCAGUAGGGAAUCUUCCGCAAUGGGCGAAAGCCUGACGGAGCAACGCCGCGUGAAUGAUGAAGGUCUUCGGAUCGUAAAACUCUGUUAUUAGGGAAGAACAAAUGUGUAAGUAACUAUGCACGUCUUGACGGUACCUAAUCAGAAAGCCACGGCGAACUACGU